UACGUAGGUGGCAAGCGUUGUUCGGAAUUAUUGGGCGUAAAGGGCGCGUAGGCGGUUUUGUAAGUCAGCUGUGAAAGCCCGGGGCUCAACCCCGGAGGGUCGGCUGAUACUGCAGGACUAGAGUACGGAAGAGGUAGCUGGAAUUCCCGGUGUAGCGGUGAAAUGCGUAGAUAUGCGGAGGAACACCGAUGGCGAAGGCAGUCCCCUGGGCCUGUACUGACGCUCAUGCACGAAAGCGUGGGGAGCAAACAGG
Molecule: ribosomal RNA, 253 nt
Filed under: uncultured prokaryote
Description: partial 16S ribosomal RNA
Rfam family: Bacterial small subunit ribosomal RNA
Source: RNAcentral